This is an RNA transcript of Helianthus annuus (common sunflower), 1460 nucleotides long. RefSeq lists it as uncharacterized. The record is from RefSeq and is a predicted model, not a curated record. The transcript is spliced from 3 exons. Lineage: Eukaryota; Viridiplantae; Streptophyta; Magnoliopsida; Asterales; Asteraceae.
UACAAAAAGUCCCCUUAUUAUUUACACACAUCAAACCCUAACCUUCCAACACCAUUUGCGGCAAUUGUCGAUGCAGAUCCAGCGGUCUUCAUCACCGGCGCUUCAUCUGGACUCCGUUCAAGUUUCCGACGCAGAUCCGGUGGUCUUCAUAACCGGCACUUCAUCUGGGCUCCGUUCAAGUUUCCGACGCAGCGAAAACAUGUCCGGAAAGGUGGUAUUCAUCACCAUCGCUUCAUCUGGGCUCCGUUCAAGUUUCCGACGCAGCGAAAACAUGUCCGGAAAGGUGGACAGUUCAUCUGGACUUGAAGAGCUCAUGGCAUAUGAACAUGCCAAAAGAGGGGCGUAUGAUUUGAAAUUGAUGCUUCUGGUAGCUCUUGAGUGGUUGUGAAUACCAAGGGUAAUAAGAUUCAUAUAGUUGUCUAUCCCAAAUUUUCCCCAUUUGGAGGGAAGGUGAUUGUUUUUGGAGCGGAUUUCAGACAGAUCCUCCCUGUCGUGCCCAAUGGAAGUAGACAAGACAUUGUAAAUUCAUCUAUAAGUUCUUCCUACAUUUGGCAAAAAUGUAAAGUACUAAGGCUCACAAAAAAACAAGAGAUUAACCUUAGGAAGUGAAGUGUCUGAUAUUGAACAAACAAAGAUUUUCGCACAAUGGAUUUUGGAUUUAGGUGAAGGAAAGGUUGGUUGUUCAAACGAUGGUGAGGCAACUAUUGAUAUUCCUGAUGAUCUUCUCAUUGCUGAUUCACCGGAUCCAAUUCCUAAUCUAAUUGACUUUGUCUAUCCUUCUAUUGUUGACAAUUCAAAACAACCUAAUUUCUUCCGAGAAAGAGCAAUACUUGCAACAAAAAAUGAUGUUGUACAAGAAAUAAACGAUCGCCUCCUAUCCAUGUUUCCAGGGAUGAAAAAGAAUUCCUAAGUUCAGACAGUAUAUGCCAGUCAUAGUAUGUGAAUGAUACGGUAUAUGAAAGUUUAUACUCACCUGAUUUCCUAAAUGGACUUAAAGUUUCUGGCUUGCCUAACCAUAAGUUAGUGCUCAAGGUCGGUGUUCCAGUGAUGCUCGUAAGAAAUCUUGAUCAAAAAAGUGGAUUGUGUAACAGAACUAGACUAAAGGUGAUAUCACUUUAUAAUCAUGUUAUAGAAGCAGAGGUCAUAUCUAGAAGCAAUAUAGGUAUAUCGCACUUUUAUUCCAAGAAUUGAUUUGACCCCUCCAGACAAAAGGAUUCCAUUUAAGUUUCAAAGAAGACAGUUCCCAUUGGCAUUAUGUUUUGCAAUGACGAUAAAUAAGAGUCAAGGACAAUCAUUAUCCAGGGUUGGUUUGUUUCUGAAACAACCUGUUUUCACACAUGGCCAACUAUAUGUUGCAUUAUCUAGGUGAAAAGUAGACAAGGACUAAAACUGUUGAUCAAAGAUAAAGAUAAUAGAGUUACAAACAUUACAUCAAACGUUGUGUACAAAGAAAUAUUUAC